Non-coding RNA from Pelobates cultripes (western spadefoot toad), 243 nucleotides. The record is from the annotation of a GenBank genome assembly. NCBI's taxonomy places the organism in Eukaryota, Metazoa, Chordata, Amphibia, Anura, Pelobatidae.
AUGAGUCAGACUCUCCUAGAGGAGAGCAGGCAAGUGCGCACAAGCGCUACUGGAGGGGUGAAGUACCUAAACCAGGCGUCCGGACAAAUUAGACUCUGGAGAAGUGUCUAACCCCGAUACGAUCGGCCUAGGUGACUACACUGCCUAGGUGACGCAGGGGUGGUAGUCCUCGUGACCCCACCACGGCCGCCCUAGCUGUAUGGCGGGCAGACCGGUCCUUCUCGGAAGGAGUGGACGAUGGGG